CAGCAGCCGCGGUAAUACGUAGGGUGCGAGCGUUAAUCGGAUUUACUGGGCGUAAAGCGUGCGCAGGCGGCCCGUUAAGACAGGUGUGAAAUCCCUGGGCUCAACCUAGGAAUUGCGCUUGUGACUGGCGGGCUCGAGUACGGUAGAGGGGGGUGGAAUUCCUGGUGUAGCAGUGAAAUGCGUAGAGAUCAGGAGGAACACCGAUGGCGAGGGCAGCCCCCUGGGCCUGUACUGACGCUCAUGCACGAAAGCGUGGGGAGCAAACAGGAUUAGAUACCCUGGUAGUCCACGCCCUAAACGAUGGGUACUAGCCGUUUGGUGCGCGAUAGCGCUGAGUGGCGAAGCUAACGCGUGAAGUCCCCCGCCUGGGGAGUACGGCCGCAAGGUUGAAACUUAAAGGAAUUGGCGGG
Molecule: ribosomal RNA, 410 nt
Filed under: uncultured microorganism
Description: bacterial SSU rRNA
Rfam family: Bacterial small subunit ribosomal RNA
Source: RNAcentral